AGUGAACGCUGGCGGUAGGCCUAACACAUGCAAGUCGAACGGCAGCACAGUAAGAGCUUGCUCUUACGGGUGGCGACUGGCGGACGGGUGAGGAAUACAUCGGAAUCUACUUUUUCGUGGGGGAUAACGUAGGGAAACUUACGCUAAUACCGCAUACGACCUACGGGUGAAAGCAAGGGAUCUUCGGACCUUGCGUGAUUGAAUGAGCCGAUGUCGGAUUAGCUAGUUGGCGGGGUAAAGGCCCACCAAGGCGACGAUCCGUAGCUGGUCUGAGAGGAUGAUCAGCCACACUGGAACUGAGACACGGUCCAGACUCCUACGGGAGGCAGCAGUGGGGAAUAUUGGACAAUGGGCGCAAGCCUGAUCCAGCCAUACCGCGUGGGUGAAGAAGGCCUUCGGGUUGUAAAGCCCUUUUGUUGGGAAAGAAAAGCAGCAGGUUAAUACCCCGCUGUUCUGACGGUACCCAAAGAAUAAGCACCGGCUAACUUCGUG
Molecule: ribosomal RNA, 492 nt
Filed under: uncultured bacterium
Lineage: Bacteria
Description: partial 16S ribosomal RNA
Rfam family: Bacterial small subunit ribosomal RNA
Source: RNAcentral